This 250-nucleotide ribosomal RNA is filed under the name uncultured bacterium. RNAcentral's name for it is "partial 16S ribosomal RNA". It matches the Rfam family "Bacterial small subunit ribosomal RNA", at positions 526 to 779 of the family's 1533-position model. The record is from RNAcentral.
CGUAUGUCGCGAGCGUUAUCCGGAAUUAUUGGCAUAAGGGCAUCUAGGCGGCCGGAUAAGUCUGGGGUGAAACUUGCGGCUCAACUGCAAGCCUGCCCUGGAAACUAUGCGGCUAGAGUACUGGAGAGGUGGACGGAACUGCACGAGUAGAGGUGAAAUUCGUAGAUAUGUGCAGGAAUGCCGAUGAUGAAGAUAGUUCACUGGACGGUAACUGACGCUGAAGUGCGAAAGCUAGGGAGCAAACAGGAUU